RNAcentral lists this ribosomal RNA (301 nucleotides) under uncultured bacterium. RNAcentral describes it as "partial 16S ribosomal RNA". It matches the Rfam family "Bacterial small subunit ribosomal RNA", at positions 509 to 807 of the family's 1533-position model. The record is from RNAcentral.
CAGCCGCCACGGUAAUACAGAGGGUGCGAGCGUUAAUCGGAUUUACUGAGCGUAAAGCGUGCGUAGGCGGCUAAUUGAGUCGGAUGUGAAAUCCCCGAGCUUAACUUGGGAAUUGCAUUCGAUACUGGUUAGCUAGAGUGUGGGAGAGGAUGGUAGAAUUCCAGGUGUAGCGGUGAAAUGCGUAGAGAUCUGGAGGAAUACCGAUGGCGAAGGCAGCCAUCUGGCCUAACACUGACGCUGAGGUACGAAAGCAUGGGGAGCAAACAGGAUUAGAUACCCGGGUAGUCCCUGUCUCUUAUAC